ACAACGGCAGCUCGGGAUGGAUUGACAGCCAAGUUCAAAGCUGUAAAACAGAUCACUGGUGGUCAGAAGAUCUGGCAAUUCUGAGAAUCGACUUCUACCAGCGUACCUUAGCGGCAAUGAUGUCCAGAGGUUUGCUGCACGAAAGCAUUGGAGGAGCGCUGAUAAUCUACGCUCAGAGAUACCUCAAAGGCCUCAACAUGAAGCCCGUGACUAGUCACAACAAAACGAAACUAGCGCCAGCAGCAACGGCUCACGACUCUGGUAUUCCUUCAAUUCUGGAGCAGGAACAACGAGCAUUAGUGGAAACACUUACAAGCAUGCUACCUUGCGAGAAGAACUCUAUAAGCUGCAGCUUCCUCUUUGGCUUGCUUCGCUCGGCCAUAAUUCUAGACGCAUCCAUCAGCUGCCGCAUCGAGCUGGAGCAAAGAAUAGGAAUGCAAAUGGAUCAGGCAGCACUGGACGAUCUACUCAUACCAUCCAUGUCCUUCACUUGCGACACCUUGUUCGAUGUGGACGUCGUCCAAAGACUGGUGAUAAACUUCCUCCAGCACAAGGAGAAGGAAGACUCUCAAGCCGGCGGCUACGAAUCUGAGAGUACCAGUCCCCCGUCACAAAGCGCAGCCAUCAAAGUCGCAAAGCUCAUAGACAAUUACCUCGCGGAGAUUGCUCCCGAUACAAACCUCAAGCUCCUCAAGUUCUAC
Molecule: long non-coding RNA, 701 nt
Filed under: Selaginella moellendorffii
Lineage: Eukaryota; Viridiplantae; Streptophyta; Lycopodiopsida; Selaginellales; Selaginellaceae
Description: long non-coding RNA (SMOE_LNC001601)
Source: RNAcentral